This 739-nucleotide long non-coding RNA is filed under the name Rattus norvegicus (Norway rat). RNAcentral describes it as "long non-coding RNA NONRATT019555". The record is from RNAcentral. Lineage: Eukaryota; Metazoa; Chordata; Mammalia; Rodentia; Muridae.
CCACCAAUAACAACAACAAAAGAAAAAGCAAAAUAAAACCUGGAGUAAGUCCUUUAGUUAAAUACUUGUCAGAGGUAUUUUUGCUGGUUGGAAAACAAAACAGAUGCAUAUACAAUGCUACACAUAUACAAGAAGGGCCUGCAGACCCACUGAUUCAUUCAGGUGUCAAAGUAUAGUGUAUUGGGUAUUACUAUUUGUCAAUAAGAAUGCCUAGCUGACCAGCAAGCCCCAGAGAGCCUCCUGCCUCCUUUUCCCAGCACUGGGAUAACAGAUGGGCACCCGAACACUUGGCUUUUUUGCCUCUGUGGGUUCAAGGGAUAACACCUGGGUCCUUAUGCUUACGUGGUGAGCACUUUACUAACUGAGCCAUCUCAUCUGUUGCCAACAAUCUUGUCUGGAAAAGAAGCACCAACCUUCAGGUAGGAAAUUUAAACUGAGCAGUUCCUCUAAGUUGUUAUUCGGAAAAUCAGUCUUAGCUCAAAUAAAAAAGAGCUAGAGCUGAAGAAGGCUCUGCUUACUAAAAGGCUCUGAAAAUGGAAGUGCCGCAUUUAGCAGAUAAAGGUGCAUGACUGUCCACUUAGAUGGGGUUAACUUUUUAGCAAUAUGUAGGACAUAACUGAUAAUCCAUUAUCUAAAGCACAGAUGUGCAUAUGCAGCUAAUUCUGUAUCUGGCAACAACUGUAGACAGUUCUACUUUAACAGUAACACCAGAGAGAUCCUUACUUAAAAAAAAAAAAAA